GUCUGGAUAAUGCGUCCUUUCAAACACCCUUUCCAAAGCGGCUAAUUGUUCUGCCGAGAAUGUUGUUCUACUUCUUCUGGGUCUUCUACAUGCAGGUGCCGUAGAAGUUUCAUUACAUUCUAUAAAAUACACAUGCCGCUCACGAUAAGGAAGUAACGUUUCCAAAACAUAAAAAGCAAAGAUGAGAAGCAGUACAGACGUAGCUAUUCUUGAAUGACUCCACUGUGUUCGAGCGUUCAUCAAAGCGGCAUAAUGCGAACAGCAUGACUGGAAACGCGCGAUUUCGAUAAAAUCAAACUCAUCGUGGAUCAUGGAUAGAAACGUGGAAAUACAUAAAACGUGUAUAUUCCGACUUACGAAACACGCGAUUUCAAAUUUUAUUCAAUUUUAUUCUUACGUAAAUGUUUAUAUAAAAUAAUUUGAUUGUAAAUUUCCAGAAUUCUUACCUAAGGAGUUAGUUGGCGUCGAUAAUAAGCGUGAGACCGUGAAAUCUUGUGGUGUAUGAGGAUUCGUAAUCUGUGAAACUAUUACGCUGUUGUUUUCUACUUGUUCCGAAUUUCCACACAACAUUGUUUCGUUU
Apis dorsata (giant honeybee) is the source of this 580-nucleotide long non-coding RNA. RefSeq lists it as uncharacterized. The record is from RefSeq and is a predicted model, not a curated record. The transcript has 2 exons. NCBI's taxonomy places the organism in Eukaryota, Metazoa, Arthropoda, Insecta, Hymenoptera, Apidae.